RNAcentral lists this ribosomal RNA (504 nucleotides) under uncultured bacterium. RNAcentral describes it as "partial 16S ribosomal RNA". It matches the Rfam family "Bacterial small subunit ribosomal RNA", at positions 29 to 523 of the family's 1533-position model. The record is from RNAcentral.
AUUGAACGCUGGCGGCAGGCCUAACACAUGCAAGUCGAACGGUAGCACAGAGAGCUUGCUCUCGGGUGACGAGUGGCGGACGGGUGAGUAACGUCUGGGAAACUGCCCGAUGGAGGGGGAUAACUACUGGAAACGGUAGCUAAUACCGCAUAACGUCGCAAGACCAAAGUGGGGGACCUUCGGGCCUCACACCAUCGGAUGUGCCCAGAUGGGAUUAGCUAGUAGGUGGGGUAAUGGCUCACCUAGGCGACGAUCCCUAGCUGGUCUGAGAGGAUGACCAGCCACACUGGAACUGAGACACGGUCCAGACUCCUACGGGAGGCAGCAGUGGGGAAUAUUGCACAAUGGGCGCAAGCCUGAUGCAGCCAUGCCGCGUGUAUGAAGAAGGCCUUCGGGUUGUAAAGUACUUUCAGCGGGGAGGAAGGCGGUGAAGUUAAUAGCCGCGUCGAUUGACGUUACCCGCAGAAGAAGCACCGGCUAACUCCGUGCCAGCAGCCGCGGUAA